AUUUAAAAUUUCCUAUAUCUUUUAAAAGUUCACAAUAUAUUGCAAAUAAAACAUCUGACUGACGCUAGAGGUCAGCGAACGUUCCGUAAAUUGGUCACUCGAAGUCAAUGCCACGUCGUAGAUGGGGCAAUGACCCGAGUUUUGCGCGCUAUUCAAUGCGGGUUUGAAAAUUACUAAAUCACUAAAACUACAAGAUAGGGCAAAUGGUUUUUGGCAUUGGAUUGUGUUAAGUGAGUAUAAUAAUAACGCUUUAAGUUUUUGAUAGCGUUCUGGU
Molecule: long non-coding RNA, 274 nt
Organism: Maniola jurtina (meadow brown)
Lineage: Eukaryota; Metazoa; Arthropoda; Insecta; Lepidoptera; Nymphalidae
Exons: 3
Source: RefSeq, a predicted model, not a curated record